This 2473-nucleotide long non-coding RNA is filed under the name Homo sapiens (human). Its description in RNAcentral is "non-protein coding lnc-SNAP25-4:1". Lineage: Eukaryota; Metazoa; Chordata; Mammalia; Primates; Hominidae. The record is from RNAcentral.
UGAAAUGAUUAGGGCAAUGUGGAACACUGUGAAAGCUCAAUCUUCUACCUCCCUCCUACUUGGCACUGGCAGAGGACCCUUCUACAAAAGACCAGAAGGUGAAGGGUGGCCCCAGAUCCCAGUAACAGAGUCCUUUUCUCUUGUCGGACUCUCAUUUCUAUUUCUGUUACCCUUCUUCCACAUCCUCCUCCAGCCUCUGCUUUCACCAACUUUCCCCAAUCUCUGUGUCACUAAUUCAUUAAUAAACUGAUGAUUGCAUUGAAAAAGAAAAGAAAAUCCGUAUUUUGUGAUCAUCUAUCUAGUACAUGCCAGGCAUUGUGCUAAGUGCUUCAUUUAUGUUGACUCAUUAAACUCUUAAAAAAAAAAAGCUUGGCAAUUUGGCAAAACCAGCAUUAUUAGCCCCAUUUUGCGGAUGAAGAAAUUGAUAGUUUAUUUGAACAAGCUCUCUCAGCUAAUAAGUGAUGUAGUGUGAUUUAAGCCAGAUGUGUGUGACUUUGAAGUUUUAGAGAGUCCUGAAAUAUACAUUUCAGAAAUGCACCUUUGUCAAUUCAGCCAGCCAAGAAACUCCUGGAGACAAUUGCCUCCACAAGGAGAAGCAAAGAAAGAUGGACUAGAUGUCAUAGCAGAAGGUCCUUGUGAACAUACCUUUUAUUCACUCAUUCAUUCAAUAAAUAUUUACUGAGCUUCCAUUAUAUAUCAAGCCCUGUUCUGAGUAUUGGAAAAACAGCACUAGGAGAAACAAAAAGCAAACAGACAAAGCAGGGAAAAUUCCUUGCAUUAACUGAACUUACACUCAAGCUAGGGACAGAGAGAUUAACAAUAUAUAAAGGAUAUGGAAUGGUAAAUGUUGUAGAGAAAUGCAACACAAUGAAGGGGGUACAGAGCAUAAGAGGUAGGACAGAGGGUGUAUCUUAGUCCACUUGUGCUGCUAUAACCAAAUACCACAGACUGGGUAAUUCAUAAAUAAAAGAAAUUUAUUUCUCGCAGUUCUGAAGACUGGGAAGUCCAAGAUCGAGUUAUCAGCAAAUUUGAUGUCUGGUAAGGGCUGCUCUCUGUGCUUCAAAGAUGGUGCCUUAUUGCUGCAUCCUCUGGAGGGGAAAAACUGUGUCCUCACAUGGAGGAAGGUAGAAGGACAAAAGGGACUAAGCUAGUUCUCUCCAGCCCUGUUAAAAGGCAUUAAUUCAUUCAUGAGAGUGAAGUUCUCAUGACAUAAUCACUCCCCAAAAGCCCCUAUUUCUUAAUACCACCACAAUGGGGUUUAAGUUUCAACACAUGAAUUUUGGAGGUGACACAUUCAAUUCAUAGCCAGGUGUUACUGUAAAAUAGAAUGGUCAGGGAAGACCUCACCAAUAAAGUGAAGUUUAGUCAGGGAAUUCUUCAAGGUUUAGAGUAAUUAAAAUACAUCCAGAGUGACCCACUGGAGAAGCAGAGGCUGAAAGUGAUGAAAUGAAAGUACAAAUUGCCUCUAUCUUAUCAUUUAAUAAUAGUGGAGUACCUCCUCUGUGAAUCAGUACUCGUGUUAAGUAUUUCCUACAUAUGCUAGAAGAAAGUUGCAAACCCUUGGCCCAGUGAGCAAGGAAGCAAGUUCAGAUAAUGAGACAAGUGGUAUGCAAGCAAUGAAUGUCAAGUCAAAUUUUCUUAGAAGAGUAGAAGGUGUUGACCUCAUGGUCCAAGAUUUAGGUCUUCAUACAAUCAUCCACUUACUAAUUUACCUUCAAACAUGUUUGUUGUGUACCUACCUCAGGUUCUUUAAGUUUUGGAUACUCAAGUCUGUCUCUUAGAAUGUAGGGAACAAGAAAACAAAGAAAAGUGAACCAUUGUCAAGGCAUUUAACUGUAGUACCUGCAGCUAUCUCCUGGAUGAGUUGCCAACACUCUCAGUUGUCUCACUGUUCUGGAGGAGCAAUCCCAGGCAGGAUGCCUCCAGCUGGUAUUCACCACCCACCAUUACACAAUCCUUGGCUCCUCUAGCCUCUUGCCAUAACAUAGCUUCAAGACCAUUCUAUUCAGGGGGUUGACUGCCUUGAGUUUAUGAUCCUAUCUCCAUAAAGAAAUCAGAAAAAUUUGGCCCAUAAUCCUCCUACCAGACCCUGCUGAUGCCUUGCCCACAUCCUCCAAGCACACACCUCUGUUCAUAAAAGGCUGUUUGCAGUGAAGAAUCAUGUAAUUCUCUGCCUUGCGGCAGGGAUAGCCAGAACGCUGAAGUUUUAAUGGCCUUGCAAGCAGUCAUCAAGAAUGGAUGAGGAUGGAUGAGUGGAUACCCCAGCUUCUUUGGCCCUAGGUUGGGAUAACUCCAAGGUGUGUGUUCUGCAUUGUCUCCCAGAGUUCCCCAGCUGAAUCAAUCUCUAAUUGCUCAUGUGAUAACUCACCUGAUACUUAUCAACCACUUUACUGGCUAUCUGCUUUUCUCUGUCUCUUUCCCACCUUUCCUACUUGUUUUUUUUCUGGAAUCUCUUCUCAAAUAAACUACUUGC